GAUGAACGCUAGCGAUAGGCUUAACACAUGCAAGUCGAGGGACCGGCGCACGGGUGCGUAACGCGUAUGUAACUUGCCUCACAGAGGGGGAUAACCCGUCGCAAGACGGACUAAUACCGCGUACUGUGAGAUCGGCAUGCGUCCCAUUAGCUAGUUGGUGAGGUAACGGCUCACCAAGGCAACGAUGGGUAGGGGAACUGAGAGGUGGAACCCCCACACUGGUACUGGGACACGGACCAGACUCCGACGGGAGGCAGCGGUGAGGGAUAUUGGGCAAUGGGCGAGAGCCUGAACCAGCCAAGUCGCGUGAAGGAUGACUGUCUAUGGAUUGUAAACUUCUUUUGUAGGGGAAUAUGUACCCUACGAAUAAGCAUCGGCUAACUCCGUGCCAGCAGCCGCGGUAAUUC
RNAcentral lists this ribosomal RNA (407 nucleotides) under uncultured bacterium. Its description in RNAcentral is "partial 16S ribosomal RNA". It matches the Rfam family "Bacterial small subunit ribosomal RNA", at positions 28 to 526 of the family's 1533-position model. The record is from RNAcentral.